RNAcentral lists this long non-coding RNA (320 nucleotides) under Aotus nancymaae (Ma's night monkey). RNAcentral describes it as "lncRNA (ENSANAG00000038797.1)". The record is from RNAcentral. Lineage: Eukaryota; Metazoa; Chordata; Mammalia; Primates; Aotidae.
UGUGAUUGGAAGGAAUUAACAGACUGACUGAUUGUUGGAUGAUGAAAUUUGGUGCAGCCCCUUUAAAAGGAAAUAUACUUGAUUCUUCAGAGGGCAGAAUCCGGACUACUGAGAGUGAAUAUCUGCAUAUUACUCAUGACAAAAAGUAAUAAUCAGCCCACUGAGACUAAAGUCCAUGUGGUCAGACACAAAAGAGCCAUUGAUUUCUGAACCUGUCCACUCCUAUAUUUAAAGGCACAAAAAGCCCACAGGAAGUCAAUAUAAAGCAGGUAAUUUGACUUAGUGGUUUACAAGAAUUUAUGUGGAAAUUACUAAUGAGU